This 313-nucleotide ribosomal RNA is filed under the name uncultured bacterium. RNAcentral's name for it is "bacterial SSU rRNA". It matches the Rfam family "Bacterial small subunit ribosomal RNA", at positions 29 to 332 of the family's 1533-position model. The record is from RNAcentral.
AACGAACGCUGGCGGCGCGCCUAAUACAUGCAAGUCGAGCGAGAAGACGUAGCAAUACGUUUGUAAAGCGGCGAACGGGUGAGGAAUACAUGGGUAACCUACCCUCGAGUGGGGAAUAACUAGCCGAAAGGUUAGCUAAUACCGCGUACGCUCCUUGGACUUCGGUUCAGGGAGGAAAGCGAUACCGUGGGUAUCGCGCUCUUGGAUGGGCUCAUGUCCUAUCAGCUUGUUGGNGAGGUAACGGCUCACCAAGGCUUCGACGGGUAGCUGGUCUGAGAGGACGAUCAGCCACACUGGCACUGCGACACGGGCC